AUGAAUCAAGUUGGCCAGCGGCCACCACCGCCGGUGCCGGAGCCACGCCCACCGCCGCCGAUGGGGAGCUGGAUCAGGAUCUUGCGCUCGGUGGCCUCUUCAUUGGGAUUAUCUCUCCGCUCUCUCAUGGUGCUACUUUGGCGCGCAUGCCGCUUACCGGCGGGCCAAGACGAGGAGGAGCACAAUGAGGCCAAGAACAAGAACAAGAAGCAAUCAACGACAGAUGGCCAGGACGAUGAGGAUCGCCGGAGGAGGAUGGAGAGGGAGGCCAGGAAUAAGGCCAAGGCGGAGGCCGAGGCGAAGGCCAAGGCGGAGGCCGAGAAGACCAAGGCGGAGGCGGAGGCGGAGAGGCAAGAGAAGGAGGCCAAGAAAAGGAAUGAGGAGGAGGAGGCGGCCAAGAAGGAGGUGGAGUAUGCCAGGAGGAAGAAGGCAGAGACCAAGAAGAAGGAGGAGGAGAAGCUUGCCGAGGCCAUCAAAAAGGACAAGGAGAAGAAGAAGGAGGAGACGAAGAGACGGCAGCGGGAGGACGCCGCGCGGAGGAAGGAGGAGGCCAGGAUGGAGGAGGAGGACAGGCAAAGGAGGCGGGAGGAGGCCCAGAGGAGGAAGGAGGCGGACAGGAACAAAGAUGAGUAUGAGAUCGAGAGGGACGCUCACAGGAGCUUUUGGGAUAUAAACCUUAGCAGCCUCAAGGAUAAUCGAAUGACCGUGUGUAUGAUCUGCUACUUUGAAAAAAAGGACUAUAAGUAUGGAUGUAACGACGACCAGAAGGAUCGCCAUAUCAGAAAUCUUCACAAAGCGGGAGUGGAACACUGCAAGAAACCGGGUUGCUUUGUGAUUGCCAAGGACAAGAGCCAGAUUGGUCAUCAUAUCAGCAAAUCGCACAAGGGAGUUGGGAUUGAACGUUGCAAGAAAAAGGGCUUCCUUGUUAUAGCCAAGGAGAGGAACAUCUUGCUCCAUAGUUUGAUGCUUCUGUAG
RNAcentral lists this ribosomal RNA (975 nucleotides) under Triticum aestivum (bread wheat). Its description in RNAcentral is "partial small subunit ribosomal RNA". Lineage: Eukaryota; Viridiplantae; Streptophyta; Magnoliopsida; Poales; Poaceae. The record is from RNAcentral.